This is a long non-coding RNA of Symphalangus syndactylus (siamang), 460 nucleotides long. RefSeq lists it as uncharacterized. Lineage: Eukaryota; Metazoa; Chordata; Mammalia; Primates; Hylobatidae. The record is from RefSeq and is a predicted model, not a curated record.
CCCCCCACCCCCGCGCGUCUUCACUCCCCUCCCCCGCAGGGAGCUGGGGCCUCCCUCUUCCCCUCCCCAUGUCCGUAGGGACCCAGAGGUGGACAGGAUCAGGGAGUCGCCUGCUGUCGCCGGCCGGGGAUCUCGGGGUCUCCCGAACCAGGCUGGGGAGCCUCACGAUCUGAGGGAGGAGGCAGAGGAGCCUUCCUGGGGCAUCCCACACUGCCCCUCAGCUCCAGCGCCGUCAGGACUCUGCUCAGCACCGUUUCACCAGUGCCUCCCCCACCAGCAGGGAGUUCCACUGGAGCAGCUGAUUCAUCUGGGAGUCCCUAGUGUCCCAAACUGGGCCUGGCACGAAGUCGGCAUCUCUAAGUGCUGUUAUUUAAAACAGAAAUCUGGUUCCACGACAAAGUGAACAUACCUAACACCACCUAAUCUUACCCUUAAAAAUGGUGAAGAUGGUACCUUUCGA